GCCGCCGCCCUCCCCGCAGCCCGCCCGCCGCGUCUUCGGGGCCGCCGCCGCCGCCGCCGCGACCGCAGGCUGAGCCCAGGCGGGCCGGCCGCCCCGAGCCGCCCCCCGCCUCCGCCGCCGCCGCCGCGCCCCGGCCCGGCCCGCUCCCAACGGAAAGUUGGGCUGCGGCGGGCGGCGUCUGGAACCCGCGGGCCGGCAUGAGCGGGGGCCGCGGGGGCGCCUAGGGCACCGGGAGGCGGCGCCGCGCGGGGGCAACUUCGCCCGGGAGCCCACGCCGCCGGGCCCCGCGCCUGCAGCCCCGAGCCGGCUCGCGGUGGUUCCUCCCGUCCCGCGGCCUCCCCUCGCCGACUCCAGGCGCGGACCUUGGUCCCGGCGGCUCCGCCGCGGUGACACGAGCCCGCGCCGCCGCUGCCGCUGCCGCCGCUGCCGCUGCCGCCGCUGCCGCCGCCUCCUCAGCCCCCGCCGCCGCCUUCCCCGCACCAUGGAGUUCUCCGAGAGGAAAAGAAGCAGGAAAUCCCAGAGCUUCAAACUGGUGAGCCGAGAUUAUCACCACGAGGUGUAUAAGAUCCCAGAAUUCAGCAACGAUGUUAAUGGGGAGGCCAAAGAGACACAGCCCAUUUUUUUAGGAGAUGAAAGCAUGGAAAUAAAAAAGCAAAUUACAGGGAUGAGAAGAUUGCUGAACGACAGCACUGGGCGGAUCUAUCAGCGAGUUGGCAAAGAAGGAGAGAAACUAAAAGAAGAGCCCCAGGACCUGGAUUUAGUCUGGCCUCCACGUUUGAACUCCUCUGCUGAGGCCCCGCAAAGCCUCCACCCGUCUUCACGUGGUGUGUGGAAUGAGCUACCGCCCCAGAGUGGACAGUUCUCAGGGCAGUAUGGCACCCGUUCUAGAACCUUCCAAAGCCAGCCCCACCCUACCACGAGCUCCAAUGGUAUGGUUGUCAACAAACAUUCAGAAGGCUCUCAUGGGGGAGAACUUCCAGUGGUGAAUUCAUCAGCUGGAUCAAACUGCUGUACUUGUAACUGCCAGUCAACGUUGCAGGCCAUUCUACAAGAACUCAAGACCAUGAGGAAAUUAAUGCAAAUUCAAGCAGUUGGAACUCAAAACAGACAACAACCUCCAAUUUCCCUUAUAUGCUCCCAGCGAACUGCUGUCUCACGAAAGAGAAAUAAAAAGAAAAAAGUGCCCCCAAAGACUGUGGAACCUCUUACUGUGAAACAGAAGCCCAGUGGGUCAGAGAUGGAGAAAAAGUCGGUGGUGGCCUCUGAGCUAUCUGCUCUCCAGGCAGCCGAGCACACCUCCCCGGAGGAGAGCCGCGUUCUAGGAUUCGGCAUUGUUCUGGAAUCACCUUCCUCAGAUCCAGAAGUACAACUUGCUGAAGGCUUUGACGUGUUUAUGCCUAAAUCUCAGCUGGACUCUAUAUUGUCAAACUACACUCGCUCAGGAAGCCUUCUGUUUAGAAAACUGGUGUGUGCGUUUUUUGAUGACAAGACUUUGGCUAACUCCUUACCCAAUGGGAAGAGGAAAAGAGGACUCAAUGACAACCGGAAAGGACUAGACCAAAAUAUUGUGGGUGCAAUAAAAGAUGCCCCUUGGAGCAGCAGCCCUACAGUCAGAGCUCCUGAGUCCAACAGCAAUAACAGGUAUCAACCUGAGUUUAACAGCAAUGAUGAGUAUCGACCAGAGUCCAAAAGCGAUGAUGGGUAUCAACCCGAGUCCAACACUGAUGAUGGGUAUCAACCCAAGUCUAACAGCGAUGAUGGGUAUCGACCCGAGUCCAACACUGAUGACGGGUAUCGACCUGAGCCCAACACUGAUGACGGAUAUCGACCGGAGUCCAACAGCGAUGACGGGUAUCGACCCGAGUCCAACAGCGAUGACGGGUAUCGACCCGAGUCCAACAGCGGUGACGGGUAUCGACCCGAGUCCAACAGCGGUGACGGGUAUCAACCCGAGUCCAACAGCGGUGACGGGUAUCGACCCGAGUCCAACAGCGGUGACGGGUAUCGGCCCCGAGUGUAACAGUGAUGACGGGUAUUGACCCGAGUCUAACAGUGAUGACAGAUAUCGGCCCCGAGUCUAACAGUCAUGACAGAUAUCAGCCCCGAGUCUAACAGUCAUGAGGAAUAUCGACCCCAAAUCUAACAGUCAUGACGGAUAUCGACCCCAAAUUUAACAGCGAUGAUGGAUAUCGACCCCGCAUCUAACAGCGAUGACGGGUAUCAGCCCCGAGUCCAACGGCGAUGAUGGGUGUCGACCCCGAGUCUAACAGCGAUGACGGAUGUCGGCCCCGAGUCUAACAGCGAUGAUGGAUAUUGACCCGAAAUCUAACAGCGAUGACAGAUGUUGGCCACAAGUCUAACAGCGAUGAUGGAUAUCGGCCCUGAGUCUAACAGCAAUGACAGGUAUCGGCCCUGUGUCUAACAGUGAUGAUGGGUAUCGACCCCAAAUCUAAGAGCGAUAAUGGAUAUCAGCCCCGAGUUUAACAGCAAUGACAGAUAUCAGCCCUGAGUCUAACUGUGAUGACAAGUAUUGGCCCCGAGUCUAACAGCGAUGACAAUAUUGGCCCUGAGUCUAACAGUGAUCACAGGUAUCGGCCCUGAGUGUAACAGCAAUGACGAGUAUCAACCCCAAGUCUAACAGCGAUGAUGGGUAUCAACCCCGAGUCUAACAGUGAUGAUGGAUAUCAGCCCUGAGUGUAACAACAAUGAUGAGUAUCACCCCCAAGUCUAAGAGCGAUGAUGGGUAUCAACCCCGAGUCUAAUAGUGAUGAUGGGUAUCGACCCCAAAUCUAACAGUGAUGACAGAUGUCGGCCCCGAGUCCAACAGCGAUGAUGGAUACCAGCCCCAAGUCUCACAGCGAUGACGAAUCGGCCCUGAGUCUAACAGCGAUGACAGGUAUUGGCCCCGAGUCUAACAGCGAUGACAAUAUUGGCCCUAACAGUGAUGACAGGUAUUGGCCCUGAGUGUAACAGCAAUGAUGAGUAUCAACCCCAAGUCUAACAGCGAUGACAGAUAUCAACCCCGAGUCUAACAGUGAUGAUGGGUAUCGACCCCAAAUCUGACAGUGAUGACGGAUGUCGGCCCCGAGUCCAACAGCGAUGAUGGAUACCAGCCCCAAGUCUCACAGCGAUGACGAUAUCGGCCCUGAGUCUAACAGCGAUGACGGAUACCAUCCCCGAGUCUAACAGCGAUGACGGAUACCAGCCCCAAGUCUCACAGCGAUGACGAUAUCGGCCCUGAGUCUAACAGCGAUGACAGAUAUCGGCCCUGAGUCUAACAGUGAUGACGAGUAUUGGCCCCGAGUCUAACAGCGAUGAUGAUAUUGGUCCUGAGUCUAAGAGAGAUGACAGGUAUCAACCCCAAGUCUAAUAGUGAUGAUGGUUAUUGACCCCAAAUCUAACAACGAUGAUGGAUAUCAGUCCCUACUCUUAAUAGCGAUGAUGGAUAUCAGCCUGAGUCUAACAGUGAUGACAGAUAUCGGCCCUGAGUGUAACAGCGAUGACGAGUAUCAACCCCGAGUCUAAGAGCAAUGACGGGUAUCGACCCUGAGUCUAACAGUGAUGACAGAUAUUGGCCCUGAGUGUAACAGUGAUGAUGAGUAUCAACCCCGAGUCUAAGAGUGAUGAUGGGUAUCGACCCCGAGUCUAACAGUGAUGACGGGUAUCAACCCCGAGUCUAACAGCGAUGACGAGUAUCAACCCCGAGUCUAAGAGCAAUGACGGAUAUUGACCCUGAGUCUAACAGUGAUGACAGAUAUUGGCCCUGAGUGUAACAGCGAUGAGUAUCAACCCUGAGUCUAAGAGCGAUGAUGGGUAUCGACCCUGAGUCUAACAGUGAUGAUGGGUAUCGACCCCGAGUCUAAGAGCGAUGACGGGUAUCAAUCCCAAGUCUUAACAGUGAUGACGGGUAUCAACCCCAAAUCUAACAGUGAUGACGGAUAUCGGCCCCAAGUCCAACAGCGAUGACGGGUACCAGCCCCAAGUCUAACAAUGAUGACGAUAUCAGCCCCGAGUCUAACAGCAAUGACGGGUAUUGACCCCAAAUCUAACAGCGAUGACAGAUAUCAGCCCCGAGUUUAACAGUGAUGACAGAUAUCGGCCCUGAGUCUAACAGUGAUGACGAGUAUUGGCCCUGAGUCUAACAGCAAUGAUGAUGUUGGCCCUGAGUCUAAGAGAGAUGACGGGUAUCAACCCCAAGUCUAAUAGUGAUGAUGGGUAUUGACCCCAAAUCUAACAACGAUGAUGGAUAUCAGCCCCUACUCUAAUAGCGAUGAUGGAUAUCAGCCCUGAGUCUAAGAGUGAUGACAGGUAUCGGCCCUGAGUGUAACAGCGAUGACGAGUAUCAACCCCGAGUCUAAGAGCGAUGAUGGGUAUCAACCCCAAGUCUAACAGUGAUGACGGGUAUCGACCCCGAGUCUAACAGUGAUGACGGGUAUCGACCCCGAGUCUAACAGUGAUGACGGGUAUCGACCCCGAGUCUAACAGUGGUGACGGGUAUCGACCCCGAGUCUAACAGUGAUGAAGGGUAUUGACCCCGAGUCUAACAGUGAUGAUGAUAUCGACCCCGAGUCUAACAGUGAUGACGGGUAUCGGCCUCAAGUCUAACAGUGAUGAUGGGUAUUGACCCCAAUUCUAAUAGCGAUGAUGGGGAUGGUGGGUAUCAACUGUACACACAACAGCCCCUGUGAAGCUUGGGCUCCUUCAGCUGUUUCUGUCAAGCACCUGGUUUUCUGAAGGUGGCUCCACCUCUGUCCUGGAAUCAGUGAGAAGGAAGGUAGCCUUGUCUGAGCUGCCCUCAUUCUUUGAACCUUGGGGGUUUAAAACUUUUUUUGUGUUAUGUGACACAAGGGUCCUGGUUUCAGACAUGGCUACAGUGCCUCACCAGGACUAGACAGAAUAGCUGCCCACUUCACCAAGGUGGAAGAAGGCAUUUCCAGACUCUAGCACAGAUCUCACUUACGGAUCACUAAACAAAUACCAUUUCAUUUUCCUUACAACCUUGUCAUGACAGUCUUGAAGAAAAUGUAGAAUCUCUUCUUGGCAUUGGCUAAAGUCCCCUUGAUUGCAUAUUUGAAACACUUGUUCAGUUGACAUUUCCCCAAACAGUGUGUUAACAGAAGACAUGAUCUUUGCUGCUUUUCAGAUACUGGAUUAAGUCAUGAGAACACCAGAAUCUUUGCAGUAUUUUCGUUGAUAUUAUAAACCUAGAAAUCAUCAGCAGGCAUGAAAUUUCUGCUAACAACAUAUUUAUUACCCCAAGCCAAUGACUGACUAAGGCCCUGAUGUUCAGAAAUGUACAGUCUAGUAAGACAUGUCAGCGAUGACCCCUAACAGAGCCAUGCUCCAGGACAGAAUAAAAUAAAUGACAAAUGUCUAUUACCUGGCAGGGGGAGGAGGAAGCACAGAGGAUGUAAAUCUCACUAGGAGAAGACCUCACAGAAUAGAUGACAUCUGAACUAGGCCUUGAAUGAAGAGAAGUAUAUCAAAUGCCGAGAGAAUGGAAAAGGUUAACUACAGAACAUGUUUAAUGAAGCUUAAAUUCAAUAAAACAUUGGGUGAAAGCCUUUUGCCUCCAGAACUGCUUAAGGCUCAUGCUCAUUGGUGGACCUUAAGUCCUCAGCAACUUGUUUACCUUAACACAUUUGACUUCAUGAAUAUAAUGCCAGUGAAAUGGACUCAGAUAUAGUUUACCUCCAAACGUUUUCAGCCAGAACUGUGCUGCUUAAAGUUGCUUCUGAAAGCUACCUCGGCCCCAUCCCACACCUUAUGAAUUCGGAUCCCUGCCGUUGGGGCCACAGUGAGUCUACGCUUCACCACCGCUUCAUCACCGGCCUUCCAUAAGCUCAAAAAAGGGAUCUCAUCUCCUCAAAACUGUGAAUUCAUAUGUUUACUACAUAAGGAGCAAAUGGAAAUGUGGAGAAACUUGUUAAGAAGGGUGUGGCUUUUUUUGAUCUUUCUUCAGCCUGUCACAUAAUGGGCAGGAACCAGUUGUGGAUUCACUUGCAAGGAUUCCACUCCAACUCCCCGUUACUGAAUUCUUACAAAACCUGCAUUUUAACACCACCACUAGGGGUGACAAAAACAGCCUCCUGUCAAAAGAGAUAUGUUUCUGGAGCAUAAACAGGGCCACUACAGUAGAAUGUGCAUUGCACACCAUUGUGGGCACUGUUGCCGUUGUGGACACUGUCGAUUUGUAUAUUUAUUGUGACAGUUUCCCUGCAGCCUAAAGUACAGUGUCUUGAGGAAAGACACCUUUCUAAUCUGAACAAUGGCUCCAUAUGUGCCAGCUGUGGCCCUGAAAAUAGAAAGCAGUGUUUUCUGCGUGGUCCAUCUCUUCUUUAUUUAACUCCCUGAAUUGUGUGGCUCAUCAGAGAUGCUCACCAGCAUCCUAAGUCUUCACAGAAAAGUACUGUACAGCUAACCAUGUGGAUAAGCUUCCUGGCCCAAGAGAUUGGGUACAGAUUCUACAG
This is an RNA transcript of Homo sapiens (human), 6470 nucleotides long. It is a transcript of the gene named BEN domain containing 7, with no coding region annotated. The transcript is spliced from 8 exons. The record is from RefSeq and is marked validated. NCBI's taxonomy places the organism in Eukaryota, Metazoa, Chordata, Mammalia, Primates, Hominidae.